RNAcentral lists this ribosomal RNA (526 nucleotides) under Burkholderia sp. Mi91. Its description in RNAcentral is "bacterial SSU rRNA". It matches the Rfam family "Bacterial small subunit ribosomal RNA", at positions 90 to 611 of the family's 1533-position model. The record is from RNAcentral. Lineage: Bacteria; Pseudomonadati; Pseudomonadota; Betaproteobacteria; Burkholderiales; Burkholderiaceae.
GGCGAGUGGCGAACGGGUGAGUAAUACAUCGGAACGUGUCCUGGAGUGGGGGAUAGCCCGGCGAAAGCCGGAUUAAUACCGCAUACGCUCUGUGGAGGAAAGCGGGGGAUCUUUCGGGACCUCGCGCUCAAGGGGCGGCCGAUGGCAGAUUAGGUAGUUGGUGGGGUAAAGGCCUACCAAGCCGACGAUCUGUAGCUGGUCUGAGAGGACGACCAGCCACACUGGGACUGAGACACGGCCCAGACUCCUACGGGAGGCAGCAGUGGGGAAUUUUGGACAAUGGGCGCAAGCCUGAUCCAGCAAUGCCGCGUGUGUGAAGAAGGCCUUCGGGUUGUAAAGCACUUUUGUCCGGAAAGAAAACCUCUGGGUUAAUACCCUGGGGGGAUGACGGUACCGGAAGAAUAAGCACCGGCUAACUACGUGCCAGCAGCCGCGGUAAUACGUAGGGUGCGAGCGUUAAUCGGAAUUACUGGGCGUUAAGCGUGCGCAGGCGGUGAUGUAAGACCGAUGUGAAAUCCCGGGCUUA